RNAcentral lists this long non-coding RNA (1011 nucleotides) under Junco hyemalis (dark-eyed junco). Its description in RNAcentral is "lncRNA (ENSJHYG00000016079.1)". The record is from RNAcentral. Lineage: Eukaryota; Metazoa; Chordata; Aves; Passeriformes; Passerellidae.
CAAAUAUAUUGGCAGAUGUAUGAGGUUUUUAAAUCCUCCUGCCGUAGUGAGAGGAUAAAACUCCCAACACAAAUGGCAACUCUGCAGCAAGAUUCUGACAUAAUUACUGUAAUUAUAUUGUCUCUGCACUCUCUUAUAAAUCAGUGACAGUAUGUAUUUAAUGAGCCCUUUCCUGUUCAGCAGGUUGCUCCCAGCCGCUCAGAUUUGCAACUGCAAUGCAGAGGUAUCUUAAAAUAAAAUUAACCCUUGGAAGCAAGGCCCCUUUCUGCGAGGAUGCUGGAGAGUCUCUCAGAGACUGGCACUGUGCACUGGCACUGUUCCAUGGCUGGAACACACAGGCUGGCUUCAGAGCAAGGGCUGAUUUGCCUUGGGCACCAAAAAAUUGUGUGGCAAACUAUAACAAGAGAAGAAAAAUAACUGAAAAACUUAACAGGUAACAGUAUUCCUGAGCUAUUGCACUAAAAAUAUCAUGGAAGUCAAAGAUCUGAUUCAUUUAAUGUCUUCUGUGUUCAUUAAAAAAGAAUUUAAAAGUUACAACAAAAGACUCACAUAGUUUUCCCAGAGCAAAAUAACUGGAUGGCCCCUGUAAAUCAUCAGAUGUAUCAACACUUACCAUCAGAGAGGCAGCAACUGAGUCGUGCUGGGAGAGCACGCACAAUGCAGACACCUAAGAACAAAACUGGGAUUUGAAACGUUGCUCCAUACUGCACUAUCCAUAAAAAUACUCAGUCCUAGGAAAGAGGACAAGUGUGGCACACUGCUGAGCACCUCGGGCACCGAGCUUAGGGAGUCCAUGAGUCCAUCCUCUCGGGCACCUUCCUCCAGCUCUUUUGCUGCAGGGCCAGCACAGGCAGCAGCGCCGGGCAGGACCUCACCCUGCUGGGGCUGCAGGCAGUGGGCCCGGUGGGGACAAGGACAGUUUGCAAUUACAUUGCAUGCAGACAUGCAAACACUGAGCUCCACCUCAUACACCACCCCCUCAGUGAGAGUGGAUGUGCACCAGGAGCUCGU